UAGGGAAUCUUCCGCAAUGGGCGAAAGCCUGACGGAGCAAUGCCGCGUGAGUGAUGAAGGCCUUCGGGUCGUAAAGCUCUGUUGAGGGGGAAGAAAGAUGCAUCCGAUAAUACCGGAUGCGUCCUGACGGUACUCCUCGAGGAAGCCCCGGCUAAUUACGUGCCAGCAGCCGCGGUAAUACGUAAGGGGCAAGCGUUGUCCGGAAUCACUGGGCGUAAAGCGCACGUAGGCGGCUUGGCAAGUCAGGGGUGCAAGCUCUAGGCUUAACCUAGAAAUUGCCUCUGAAACUACCUCGCUUGAGGGUCUGAGGGGAAACUGGAAUUCACGGUGUAGCGGUGAAAUGCGUAGAUAUCGUGGAGAACACCCGUGGCGAAGGCGGGUUUCUGGCAGACUUCUGACGCUGAGGUGCGAAAGCUAGGGGAGCGAACGG
Molecule: ribosomal RNA, 430 nt
Filed under: uncultured bacterium
Lineage: Bacteria
Description: bacterial SSU rRNA
Rfam family: Bacterial small subunit ribosomal RNA
Source: RNAcentral